RNAcentral lists this ribosomal RNA (497 nucleotides) under uncultured bacterium. Its description in RNAcentral is "partial 16S ribosomal RNA". It matches the Rfam family "Bacterial small subunit ribosomal RNA", at positions 28 to 507 of the family's 1533-position model. The record is from RNAcentral.
GAUGAACGCUGGCGGCGUGCCUAAUACGUGCAAGUCGAGCGAACGGACGAGAAGCUUGCUUCUCUGAUGUUAGCGGCGGACGGGUGAGUAACACGUGGAUAACCUACCUAUAAGACUGGGAUAACUUCGGGAAACCGGAGCUAAUACCGGAUAAUAUUUUGAACCGCAUGGUUCAAAAGUGAAAGACGGUCUUGCUGUCACUUAUAGAUGGAUCCGCGCUGCAUUAGCUAGUUGGUAAGGUAACGGCUUACCAAGGCAACGAUGCAUAGCCGACCUGAGAGGGUGAUCGGCCACACUGGAACUGAGACACGGUCCAGACUCCUACGGGAGACAGCAGUAGGGAAUCUUCCGCAAUGGGCGAAAGCCUGACGGAGCAACGCCGCGUGAGUGAUGAAGGUCUUCGGAUCGUAAAACUCUGUUAUUAGGGAAGAACAUAUGUGUAAGUAACUGUGCACAUCUUGACGGUACCUAAUCAGAAAGCCACGGCUAACUACGUG